RNAcentral lists this non-coding RNA (128 nucleotides) under Melopsittacus undulatus (budgerigar). Lineage: Eukaryota; Metazoa; Chordata; Aves; Psittaciformes; Psittaculidae. The record is from RNAcentral.
GUGUUGUAUGAAAGGAGAGAAGGUUAGCACUCCCCUUGAUAAGGAUGGAAGAGGCCCUUGUGGCCUAUACGACACGCAUACGGUUAAGGCACUGCCACCUACUUUGUGGCAUCUAACCAUGUUUUUUA